Molecule: ribosomal RNA, 490 nt
Filed under: uncultured bacterium
Lineage: Bacteria
Description: partial 16S ribosomal RNA
Rfam family: Bacterial small subunit ribosomal RNA
Source: RNAcentral
AUUGAACGCUGGCGGCAGGCCUAACACAUGCAAGUCGAACGGUAACAGGAAACAGCUUGCUGUUUCGCUGACGAGUGGCGGACGGGUGAGUAAUGUCUGGGAAACUGCCUGAUGGAGGGGGAUAACUACUGGAAACGGUAGCUAAUACCGCAUAACGUCGCAAGACCAAAGAGGGGGACCUUCGGGCCUCUUUCCAUCGGAUGUGCCCAGAUGGGAUUAGCUAGUAGGUGGGGUAACGGCUCACCUAGGCGACGAUCCCUAGCUGGUCUGAGAGGAUGACCAGCCACACUGGAACUGAGACACGGUCCAGACUCCUACGGGAGGCAGCAGUGGGGAAUAUUGCACAAUGGGCGCAAGCCUGAUGCAGCCAUGCCGCGUGUAUGAAGAAGGCCUUCGGGUUGUAAAGUACUUUCAGCGGGGAGGAAGGGAGUAAAGUUAAUACCUUUGCUCAUUGACGUUACCCGCAGAAGAAGCACCGGCUAACUCCGUG